GAUAAAUUUCCUUUCUUGAUUUAUACUUCAGAAGCCAAUGUUGGUUUAUUUCCACAAAUUGUGGAUUCUUUAGUAUGGAAUCUUAUCGUUCUUGAUUACACAUUAUUUGAUUUAUAAAACAGCUCGUUAUAUAUAUGUUUCAUAGUUACAAGUCUAUCACCAAAUCAGAGAUACAUAAAGCCAACAAAACAAACUCCAAGUCUUGUACAUCCAAGUCUCCAUAAGGCCAUGAGCUUCUGCUGCUUGGGGCAAUGGUAAAUACUUGUGAAUCACUGGUUUUACCUUCCCUGCUUUUAUCGCUGGCCAAACAUUCUUCUCGACUUCCGCAACAACAACAACUUUGUUUUCUAUGCUCUUUUGUCUCAACGCAGCUCCUGCAGAAAAAAAAUAUAUAAGAUGCCAAAUAUGAGAAUGGAUUAGUCUUCUCCACAGAAACAUAAUCAACAACGGCAAAACUAAACACACACAUUAUACAAAAACUCAUUAGAAACCAUAUACUAGUCACAGCCAGGCCUGAGUUUUAGUGGGCCACAAAAGAUUUUUUUAUUAUUUUAAAAAAGGCUGAUUUAUAUUUUUUUUUGACAUCUUUGGAUCGACAAGGCCCGAU
This 607-nucleotide long non-coding RNA is filed under the name Arabidopsis lyrata. RNAcentral describes it as "long non-coding RNA (ALYR_LNC001333)". The record is from RNAcentral. Lineage: Eukaryota; Viridiplantae; Streptophyta; Magnoliopsida; Brassicales; Brassicaceae.